UGAAUACGUUCCCGGGUCUUGUACACACCGCCCGUCACACCACGAGAGUUUGUAACACCCGAAGCCGGUGGAGUAACCUUUUAGGAGCUAGCCGUCGAAGGUGGGACAAAUGAUUGGGGUGAAGUCGUAACAAGGUAGCCGUAUCGGAAGGUGCGGCUGGAUCACCUCCUUUCUAAGGA
Molecule: ribosomal RNA, 179 nt
Filed under: Staphylococcus aureus
Lineage: Bacteria; Bacillati; Bacillota; Bacilli; Caryophanales; Staphylococcaceae
Description: partial 16S ribosomal RNA
Rfam family: Bacterial small subunit ribosomal RNA
Source: RNAcentral